UUUCAGAGGCGAGGACUUGCACUUUAGAUCAUUCCUGCUGCAGCUGCUGAGUCUGCUUUGUGAGCCGCUUGCAGUUCUUUGAGUCCUAAUGCUUUAAGUCAUCAAGGAUGGAUCUGAUUGGUUGAGAUUUUGAUUUUGUGUGAAUUGAAUUGACUCAUUCAUGGAUUCAUAGCUACAGAGCAUAUACCAUUUGAAGAUGUGGCUGCAGACUUGUACCUGUGUGUCCCUGCAACAAGUGAACCUUGAAUUUUGAGCCGUCGAUCAAAAUCAGACAGUUACACUUCUCAGAUUUACAAAAUUUACGCUCAUUUCCAAGUUCCCAAGGUCACAGAUCCCUCUCAGAGUAUUUCAAGUCUACAGAUUCCUGGCUGAAUCCGAAUCCAGACGGUUUAAAGACACAACAGUCUGAUGCAUUGUCUCAGAGUGGUGUCACUUGAGCUCUCCAGAUCGACACUCCAGACCUCAUCUGUCCUUUCAAGCAGAUGCACCUACAAAUCUUCAUUCUGUGUCAGACUGCUAGCGCUCCGCCAAGCACCCAUGACAAUGACUCUAAAGAAAAUAAAUGUUGUCUUAAGUAGAAAAUUGCCUCGCAUUUGCAUGAAAAUGACUUACAUCUGCCGCGGCUGAUGGGUAGCAUAUUAAUCCCUCUGCUUGUGCAAUCAAAACCCACUCCUCCUCGGUGAAAUCAUGUUGUUUUUUUUUCGUGUGACUGAACCGUGACCCCCCUCUUCGUGUCGUUAUUUUGAUAUCCAUCUCAAAGCGAAACAGCAGUUUGACCCCGAAGUGCCGUCUUUGGAGGAACAAACCGGCUCUCAGCGUUGCUUUGAUUAUCACAUGCUGAUUAUAUUCAGCCAAUUAACUCCAAUCUAAUGAAAAAAAAAAAAAAGCUCAUUCAGUGAUGGCGUGCUGCCGCCUCUGACCGGCAGCUGCUAUAUGACUGUUUUAUAGACUUCUAUCAGAUCUGCUCCGGCUCGAUUUAUCCUCAUCAUUAGUUAUCUCACAAUAUAUGACAUUGAGGUUUAUUGCACCCUUUGAAGACAACAUCUCGGCGGUGAAAUGCUGUUAAAAACAUUUCAAAAGCUGUCAUCAAUAGUCCUAAUUUAUUCUGAGAGCAAUGCCGGUUUGUUCUCUUUUUAAAUAAUGGAGGAUAUGAGCAAAAGUUGUUAAGAAUUCAGCUCAAUGAAUCACUUUCAAGUGUUGCCUUUGAAGGCGCGCCGUCCGAGAGAGCCUUUUCCAGAAAGCCCCGACAUCACACAUUCGUCCAAUCAAUAAGGUUAACCUCACCAAGCUGGAGAGAAAUUGCUUCUGCUGGACAAAGUUAGAUGGAGCUCCUUGGAGUAAGGGUUGAUGUUUUUUUUCUGCUUCACCUCUCGGUAGGUGGGGUGCAGUAUUUCUGAUUGGAUUUAUAGUGGAGCGGUGGUCAGUGAGGUGGUCUGUAUUUACUGUUUUUGAUGUCGGAGUGAUUUGCAUAAGCCGGUUCAGGUCUACUUUCUCCCUCCAGGGGGAAAAUAUUCAGGUCUUUCAUUCUGUUUUUAUUGUGCAGGACUUCGCUUUUGAUUCUGUGUUUCGAGUAACCCUCGACUUGUGUUUUUAAGAGGUACCCGACCUCUAAAAUUUCUUGCGGAUGCUUCAAAAGACCGCCUUGGCUACUAUCAGCCUCUGUCAGUAUCAGCGACAGACUUCUGAUCCGUGCUCACGGCUCUCGAGCGUCCUCUGUUGAUGGACCUGAAUGGACGAGCCGCCUCUGUCCACUCCUGCCACCCUGAAACCACACUUGCAUUCCUAACUAAUCCCCUAACUGCACGAUUCGCCCCUGAAUGAGUUGUUAGUGCCUUUUUCUGCGUGCUGUGUCACCGCUAGCGCUCACACGGCGGCUCUCGUCUUCAUACCCCCCCCUCCCUGAAGGCAGCCAGACUCACCACACUGUAGCUUGAGAGAUUUUGACAAGUCGCUACGCAUGCAGGCAGAAUCCUUGACCUAUUUCUUAAUGAGUGAAUGCAGCAAAAGCGGCUCAGCGGCUGUGUAUUCUUGAAUGAAGCCCCCCUCUCUAACCCCUCCUUUCUCUCCUAACUGUCUUUUUCUUGCACACACACACACGCAAACAUGCAAACACAUGCAGAUAAUGGUGCUUUUGUGAGUUCACUGACUCAUUCUCCCACAGACAUAGGUCCUCUUCUUCUUUUUCCCCCCUAACU
RNAcentral lists this long non-coding RNA (2195 nucleotides) under Xyrichtys novacula (pearly razorfish). Lineage: Eukaryota; Metazoa; Chordata; Actinopteri; Labriformes; Labridae. The record is from RNAcentral.